CCGCGGUUGAGAGACGAGUGAAUGACAGGUGACUCAUAGUGCCGUGUUUACAGAGGUAAUGUCAGUGCCUCGACACACACGCCGCCGGCCAGGCCACCUCUGGAACUUUCUCUGCAUCCUCAGAAACCGACGCGACUCGUCCCAUGAGGCACAAACUCAGCUGACGGUGCAACAGAGCCAGAUCGAUGCUGGAUUGGAGCCAGGUGAGAUCCACUGACAGCUACAGUCGGGCAGGAGCAGCACGCGGCCCCAUGCGCGUACACAAUCCUGCCUGCGCAGUCACUGGGUGGAGCAGGCAGACUACUGAAAACACUUUGACGAAUCGUGCCAAGGGUUCAUCAGGGGCAUGAAACAGACUUCUGCUGAAGGUUCUGUAUCCCCAUAUCAGAAUGUCCUGUUCAGUGAACACUGUUGGUUACAAUUACAGUUUUUCUUGCUUGCCAAGACACGUUUCUUGAAAUUGUGCUCCAUUUUCCAAAACUCACAAAUGCAUAACUGAACACUCAUCUUCACAAACUUCCAUGUCCAAACAUCACACAAAACCAAUCAACUACACAUACACUACAGAAUAGCCAGUAAACACUGGUGAGAUCAAUUCAAAACUUUACCGCAAAAUCCUGUUACUGCAAUGAGUAAUGGGGCUCAUGGUUUUCCCUCCAACAACCCUGUAACACGAUGAUCGCAAUAUAAAGACACAACAUGUAUAUAUUUUCAUUUUUUUUUAUUCCUCAAUGUACUGCAGUAAAAUAAACUAAAAUUCUGUAAAAAUAUGCAACCGACAGAACAUAGAAUACAGUAAAAUAAUGUAUUUACAUGUUCCAUGUAUUUACUAAUGUAAACCAAUGAAAAAAAACUGUUUGUACAUAAAAUAAGGUCUUUGUGGAUCCAUGGUUCCAAAACAUGUUAAGUGACCCAUGACCCUUUAAUCGAUCUAUCCUGAUUGGUGUGUAAACCCUUUGUAUUUGGGAAUUGUGUGUAAAUUUGGUUCAAGCUGUGAUGAAUUAGUUAGAUGGGCACAUGUUGCAGCCAGUGAUACAUGAAGGGGAGCUGUGAGUAGAGCUUUGCACAAAAACUUCAACAAAUUUGAAUCGUGUGUGAAAACAGUCUUUAUAGUUUUGGGAAAUGGGUCUGUUUUUUGGUAGAUGGCGUCAUGGUUUAGGAUGUUUAGGUUUAGGAUGCCCAGUUAGUGUGUAAGCGAAACUGUAACAAUGUGCAGUUAUAAGCCUAAAAAUAGGUAUUAGUAAUAUUAAAUAUAUUGGUUUGUUUGUGGUUAAAUAAUCCACUUAAUGAUAUUUCUAAUGAGGUCAUGCAUACAAUACAAUCAAUUACCCCAGGCAAUAACAUGCACUAUGUAAUAUUGUUGCCCCAGGCAAUAACAUGCACUAUGUAAUAUAGUUUGCUGUAGUAUUGCUUACAGGUGUCCUGGAAUGCUGACAGUCAAGAUCAUUACUCUUGUGCUCAAGAACAGGUAUAAUAUAACUGCUUACACAAUUUCUGAAACAUGUUACAGCAAAAUCCCACACCAAAUCUGCAAAUCUGUAAGCUAAUUCUCAGCCUUUGACUCAGUUUUCAAUUUCAUAAAACACUUCUUGCAAAACACUGCACACAUAGUUCACUAAGACAUAAUGAUCAGCCAAUGCACAACAUGUAUACCAGUUCUACAGGAGGACAUUGGUUGUGAUGUUGAUGAGCUGCUGUGAGAAGACCCAAAUACGAAGCUGGGUAAGGUGCCCAGUAAAUCUGUAUUUAUCAUAUCUACUAUCAUGAGUCCUAUCCAUCAGCUUAGAACACGUGCUUUUAUAGAAAUGUAAUUUAUUGUGCGCAUGUAGGCCUCUCCAAAGUCAAUGACCUUAUGAUACAUAAACACUGAAAAAAACAAGUAUGCAAUCUCGCUUUAUUCUAGCUACCUCUUUCACUUGCAAGAAUGAUGUGGCCAUUUUUACUUCAAGUAGCAUACUUACUAUUUCAGCUCAAAGGAAGGUAACGCUAACGUUGUGGAGCGGAGCGUGUUGCAUAGCCCAUGGCAUCACUGCAGCAGCCUUCCCAGCGUUCCUAGCGCUCAUCCUGUGUUAUUGAAGAUGCAAUUGCGGACGUCAGUGAUAACUGAUAACUUUAGAUACGGUGAUAGCUUUAAUUAAGUGAAGCACAUUUAUUGCCCCCACAUUUAUCGUCUUACACAGUUGUAAAGUGCCCAGUCUGCACCAGAGCCUGAGAGAGACACCCAUUGGAGAGAGAGGAAGAGGAGGAGAGGUUAAAUGAGGAUGAGAGAAGGAGAAAGUGCGUGUGGGGGGAGAGACAAACAAAGUAAGGGGUAGAAAUGAAGUGAGGGCCAGCUGUAUCUGGUGAUAUCUAAGAGACUGCCAAAACAAAAGAAGGCCAAGGCAGUGAGGAAUAGGAAUGAGAGUACGAAGAAAACAAGGGCAUGGGGAAAUGACUGCUCUCAGAGAUAAAUUACCAGAAAUGUUGGGGGAAUGAGGGAAUAAAUAUUUAUUAACAAACACAGGUUUGUGGACAAAGAGAUGCCCAUGGACAUCAGAGACAGAGAAAAAGU
Molecule: long non-coding RNA, 2551 nt
Organism: Clupea harengus (Atlantic herring)
Lineage: Eukaryota; Metazoa; Chordata; Actinopteri; Clupeiformes; Clupeidae
Source: Ensembl